RNAcentral lists this ribosomal RNA (1104 nucleotides) under Vibrio sp. 8411M. RNAcentral's name for it is "bacterial SSU rRNA". It matches the Rfam family "Bacterial small subunit ribosomal RNA", at positions 384 to 1485 of the family's 1533-position model. The record is from RNAcentral. Lineage: Bacteria; Pseudomonadati; Pseudomonadota; Gammaproteobacteria; Vibrionales; Vibrionaceae.
UGAUGCACCAUGCCGCGUGUAUGAAGAAGGCCUUCGGGUUGUAAAGUACUUUCAGUUGUGAGGAAGGUUUCGUAGUUAAUAACUGCGUUGCUUGACGUUAGCAACAGAAGAAGCACCGGCUAACUCCGUGCCAGCAGCCGCGGUAAUACGGAGGGUGCGAGCGUUAAUCGGAAUUACUGGGCGUAAAGCGCAUGCAGGUGGUUUGUUAAGUCAGAUGUGAAAGCCCGGGGCUCAACCUCGGAAGGUCAUUUGAAACUGGCAAACUAGAGUACUGUAGAGGGGGGUAGAAUUUCAGGUGUAGCGGUGAAAUGCGUAGAGAUCUGAAGGAAUACCAGUGGCGAAGGCGGCCCCCUGGACAGAUACUGACACUCAGAUGCGAAAGCGUGGGGAGCAAACAGGAUUAGAUACCCUGGUAGUCCACGCCGUAAACGAUGUCUACUUGGAGGUUGUGGCCUUGAGCCGUGGCUUUCGGAGCUAACGCGUUAAGUAGACCGCCUGGGGAGUACGGUCGCAAGAUUAAAACUCAAAUGAAUUGACGGGGGCCCGCACAAGCGGUGGAGCAUGUGGUUUAAUUCGAUGCAACGCGAAGAACCUUACCUACUCUUGACAUCCAGAGAACUUUCCAGAGAUGGAUUAGUGCCUUCGGGAACUCUGAGACAGGUGCUGCAUGGCUGUCGUCAGCUCGUGUUGUGAAAUGUUGGGUUAAGUCCCGCAACGAGCGCAACCCUUAUCCUUGUUUGCCAGCACGUAAUGGUGGGAACUCCAGGGAGACUGCCGGUGAUAAACCGGAGGAAGGUGGGGACGACGUCAAGUCAUCAUGGCCCUUACGAGUAGGGCUACACACGUGCUACAAUGGCGCAUACAGAGGGCAGCGAACUUGCGAAAGUAAGCGAAUCCCAAAAAGUGCGUCGUAGUCCGGAUUGGAGUCUGCAACUCGACUCCAUGAAGUCGGAAUCGCUAGUAAUCGUGGAUCAGAAUGCCACGGUGAAUACGUUCCCGGGCCUUGUACACACCGCCCGUCACACCAUGGGAGUGGGCUGCAAAAGAAGUAGGUAGUUUAACCUUCGGGAGGACGCUUACCACUUUGGGUCAUGAUGGGUGACG